AUGCUCCCAGAAAACCUAACGGACUUUGAAGCUGCCAUUAGGCAAAAAAGGGAGUGGCCAACGAAGAAGAUGAAGACUAAAUUAAAGGAUCGGAGAAGGAGCGGAGGAGCAUGGCGGCGCAGCGGCGGAGGAUGUAAAUCCGGCAGCGUUGCUCCUUGAUCAGAGAAGCACACUUGCGCGUAAAACCAGUAUUGAUCUGUUUAUUCUUGCUCAUCUUCAUCAAUUGUUGAAUUGAAGAUUUUUAAUUUGAUUAGUAGCGGAGAGAGAUCGGAGACAGAUUGCAGGUGGGCGGCCGGCGGUAAGGGGAAAAAAGCCCUCCGAUUUGGAGCUGGACCCUGAGAGCAAAACGGUAGAGGUGACACUGUAUUUAUACCUACCCAAACAGACAUGAUUUACAAGUUAUUACAAUGAAUAUGGACAACAUGCAUGCAUCUUUGAAACAGAUGAGGGAUUUGCAUGGAAAAGAGGGCGGAUUACAUGCGCCGUAAUCUUACUUGUUAAGCGGUCGGGGAUGGGUCAAGUCUAGCACUGCGUCUUAAAAAUGUGACAGUAUAUAAACAAAUAAAGUUGUAUCAUUGAUUAUGAGCUGUAACUUUUGACAUAGUAGUAAGUGUUUGAUCUAACAAGGGGUAUCAAAGCUAGAUAGACCAAGAGAGUGUUUGCAAAAAUAAUCAAAUUUAGGCUCAGGUUAGAUCGAGAGAGUAUUGGUAAGAACUGAACUAUUGUGACAUUUUGGUUCAAAAAUCAUGUUUCAGGACAAAAUUGCAUUUCUUUUA
This is a long non-coding RNA of Ipomoea triloba (trilobed morning glory), 776 nucleotides long. RefSeq lists it as uncharacterized. NCBI's taxonomy places the organism in Eukaryota, Viridiplantae, Streptophyta, Magnoliopsida, Solanales, Convolvulaceae. The transcript is spliced from 2 exons. The record is from RefSeq and is a predicted model, not a curated record.